CGUGGGCAAUCUGCCCUAAAGACUGGGAUACCACUUGGAAACAGGUGCUAAUACCGGAUAACAACAUGAAUCGCAUGAUUCAAGUUUGAAAGGCGGCGCAAGCUGUCACUUUAGGAUGAGCCCACGGCGCAUUAGCUAGUUGGUGGGGUAAAGGCCUACCAAGGCAAUGAUGCGUAGCCGAGUUGAGAGACUGAUCGGCCACAUUGGGACUGAGACACGGCCCAAACUCCUACGGAAGGCAGCAGCG
RNAcentral lists this ribosomal RNA (247 nucleotides) under uncultured Lactobacillus sp. Its description in RNAcentral is "partial 16S ribosomal RNA". It matches the Rfam family "Bacterial small subunit ribosomal RNA", at positions 116 to 356 of the family's 1533-position model. The record is from RNAcentral. Lineage: Bacteria; Bacillati; Bacillota; Bacilli; Lactobacillales; Lactobacillaceae.